UGGGGAAUAUUGCACAAUGGGCGCAAGCCUGAUGCAGCCAUGCCGCGUGUGUGAAGAAGGCCUUCGGGUUGUAAAGCACUUUCAGCGAGGAGGAAGGUGGUGGACUUAAUACGUUCAUCAAUUGACGUUACUCGCAGAAGAAGCACCGGCUAACUCCGUGCCAGCAGCCGCGGUAAUACGGAGGGUGCAAGCGUUAAUCGGAAUUACUGGGCGUAAAGCGCACGCAGGCGGUUUGUUAAGUCAGAUGUGAAAUCCCCGGGCUCAACCUGGGAACUGCAUUUGAAACUGGCAAGCUAGAGUCUCGUAGAGGGAGGUAGAAUUCCAGGUGUAGCGGUGAAAUGCGUAGAGAUCUGGAGGAAUACCGGUGGCGAAGGCGGCCCCCCUGGACGAAGACUGACGCUCAGGUGCGAAAGCGUGGGGCAGCAAACAGGAUUAGAUACCCUGGUAGUCCAGCGCUGUAAACGAUGUCGACUUUGGAGGUUGUGCCCUUGAGGCGUGGCUUCCGGAGCUAACGCGUUAAAUCGACCGCCUGGGGAGUACGGCCGCAAGGUUAAAACUUAAAUGAAUUGACGGGGUCAUAGCUGUUUCCU
This 590-nucleotide ribosomal RNA is filed under the name uncultured bacterium. RNAcentral describes it as "partial 16S ribosomal RNA". It matches the Rfam family "Bacterial small subunit ribosomal RNA", at positions 355 to 1375 of the family's 1533-position model. The record is from RNAcentral.